UUAAAAAAGAAUAAAGAAGAAGGGAAUAUGUUUUCUUUUAUUUGUAACAAUUUAGUUUUUCUUUUAAAAACUAUUUUUAAUCUUAAAUGUAUUUAAAAGGAAUAUUAAAUAAUUUUAGUCUUUUAUUGAUUUUUUUUAAUUUUUUAAGAAUUAAUUAGAAAAUAGUUUUUAAAAUUUUUAUAAUUAAAGAGGGCACAAUUUGGUAAUUGUCAAAGUUUGGGGAGUACAAAUGCUAAUUAUUUUAUGCAAAUUGUAACAUGAGGCAUGAUCUGAUAGUAUCAAUAGUUCAUGGGGAAAUUUUAACAGACAAUAUAUCUUAGGAGGCACAAUCUGAUAGUAUUAAAAAUUCAGGGGAAAAAAUGUUAUUUAUUCAAAAAAUUAAAUAUGUCAAAAUAUGGAGGAAAAAAAAGAAUAUCAAAAUCGAGAAAUAUAAAAAAUGUAACUUAAACUUUUUCAAAAUAUCUUGAAAAAUAUUGAUUUUUUUUAGAAAUGAAUCCUUUAAUCGUAUUGUUAUCCCUGUUUUCCACUCGUGAUAUGUGGCAUCACCUAUUGGGUUUGUGGGCCCUCUUAAGAGGUCCGGGCCCAUCCUUAACCUGGUGAACGGGGAAGGAUGAAACCCUAGUAGCCCAAGCACCAUCAAGCCCAACAACAUUCAAUUGGUGCUAGCAUAACAAAGGAACUGGGACUAAGAUGCAGGCCUGACUCAUCUUCCCGGCCCCGACCAACCUACAUCCUCCGGGAUGCCAAUUGAGGUGACAGACUAACUAGUCGAUGGAGAUAGACCUUAUCAAGAAUCCAGGGGAGAUACUCAGUAUCACGAUGUCCAUCUUGGAAAAUGAACCCGAGUCCUGGUGAGCAAACCAGGACUUCGGUAAAUGAAUUGUGACAUUAGUAAGCGAACCCGGACCAAACUUCCGGAUAGGGCAAGCCUAGAUUUCCCCAAUGCUGACCUGUCCCUAUGAAAUCCGACAGUUGGUCUCCUCAACUAAUCUGCAGAAGAGGGUACGCACGGAACGUACAUUGUUCCUAAGAAACAGUACUGCCACUACUCUGACAGAUCUUGUCCCCAGGGUCCCCUUAGAAGCCCAUGCGGACCAGUUCGUGCUAACGUACAAUGGGCAGCUGUAGGGCUUGGCCAUGCCUGAGCCGACCCAAUGGGCCCAGAUUAACUACAUCUUAUUAUGUAACAUUCUUUGUAUUAUGGCUCCAUUAGUGAGCAAACUAUAAUUACAUCCCUAUUGGGCCCGGAUUAAUCCGACCCAAGCCCAUUGCGCUUGACUUCCUACAAAUAGGGACAGUUGUGCACUGUAGCAUGGAUCUCAGAUUUUCUCUUGUAAGCAAAUACUCUGUUAAAACUCGUAGAAAACUCAAUUCUCAAAAACUCUCUAAAGCCUAAUGCUAUUGACUCGUGAACUAAUGCUCAUUAAUGCUCCAACCACGUAAAAAUUGUGACUGUUCAUCUCUAAUUCUUUCUUUUUAGCUCUUACUUCUUAAUAUCUUUCUAGUUUAUAAAAACUCGGUAAACACGUAUGUAUAUGAAUUUUCACAUCUCAUAUUACUAUAUAUAUAACAAAACAAUAUAUAUUGGAUUAUUUAAAUUUUUGAAUUGUAGAAUUCUUGUGUAUUCAUUUACAGAUUUAUUAUGAACUUUCAUAUUUUAGAUAAAUAUUUGUCACAUAUGCAUAUGCAUGAAUUUCUAAAAAUUUCCAUCCUCGUCAAUAUUUUUCUGAUAUUAUCUAGUCAAGCCUAUUUGGUUUGGUUUCCAGGUAUAAAGAAAGGAGUACAAGAACUCAAUCCAAGAAGGAGAGUGAUUUUUGAUCUUCCUUGCAAGUACAAACUUGCUUGGAUGAAUUGAUGAUACAAAAAAAAAAACGCUUCACCUUUUGUAGAUCUUUUGGCCUUCAGAAAGAAACUAAACUAUGCGGACACGUUCGCAGCUCCUUUUUGAGUUCUGAGAUCGAAGAAUUUUUGCGUCGUGUUACUAGCUGCGCCUUUGUUGUCCAAGGCUACGGUAAGUACAAGGCAUCAAGAUUUUGUUUUGAGUACAUAACAUGUCAUCAAAGGCCAUCUCAGCCUUACAUUCUGAUUAGCCUAACUAAUUCCUAUAGUUAUGUUUGGACAUUAAAACUAGCCAGUGCAUUGCUCUGGAAAUCUUGCUCGCGUUGGAGGUAUUUUCUUAGAUGAAGGGAAGUCUGUUUUUGUUGAGUGCCACAAAAAGCCUAAGCUAUCAUGAGAAGCAAUAGUUGAAGAUGGUUGGUUCCAUACAGGUUGAAGAAGAAAAUCUCUUUUUUUUCUAAGUCUCUUUGAAGAAACUUCACUUAAAAACCUCUUUUGAUAAUUAAGUCCUUGGCAUUUCUGAAGAUAUAGGGGAAAUGCUGAGCAGUUAAGAUAAUUGAUAGGAAAAAGAAUCUUGUAAAAUUGUCCCAAGGUAUGUUGCUCUGAGUACUUGGAGAAUGUUCAUAGUUUCACUCCAAUUGUUGAAGAUGUAAGUAAAAAACUCUCUCUUCAUGA
This is a long non-coding RNA of Humulus lupulus (European hop), 2511 nucleotides long. RefSeq lists it as uncharacterized. The transcript has 3 exons. The record is from RefSeq and is a predicted model, not a curated record. NCBI's taxonomy places the organism in Eukaryota, Viridiplantae, Streptophyta, Magnoliopsida, Rosales, Cannabaceae.